CAGCAGCCGCGGUAACACGGAGGGUGCAAGCGUUAAUUGGAAUUACUGGGCGUAAAGCGCACGCAGGCGGUCUGACAAGUCAGAUGUGAAAUCCCCGGGCUUAACCUGGGAACUGCAUUUGAAACUGUCAGGCUGGAGUCUUGUAGAGGGGGGUAGAAUUCCAGGUGUAGCGGUGAAAUGCGUAGAGAUCUGGAGGAAUACCGGUGGCGAAGGCGGCCCCCUGGACAAAGACUGACGCUCAGGUGCGAAAGCGUGGGGAGCAAACAGGAUUAGAUACCCCGGUAGUCCCUGUCUCUUAUAC
Molecule: ribosomal RNA, 301 nt
Filed under: uncultured bacterium
Lineage: Bacteria
Description: partial 16S ribosomal RNA
Rfam family: Bacterial small subunit ribosomal RNA
Source: RNAcentral